Molecule: ribosomal RNA, 526 nt
Filed under: uncultured bacterium
Lineage: Bacteria
Description: bacterial SSU rRNA
Rfam family: Bacterial small subunit ribosomal RNA
Source: RNAcentral
AAUCAACGCUGGCGGCGUGCCUAACACAUGCAAAGUCGAAACGCGAAAAGGGGAGCAAAUCCCUGAGUAGAAGUGGCAAAACGGGUGAGUAACACGUGGGUGACCUGCCUCAGAGUGGGGGAUAACGUCCCGAAAGGGACGCUAAUACCGCAUAACAUCCUGCCUUUGGAAAGGCGGAGAUCAAAGCCGGGGAUCGCAAGACCUGGCGCUUGGAGAGGGGCCCGCGUCUGAUUAGCUAGUUGGUAGGGUAAUGGCCUACCAAGGCGACGAUCAGUAUCCGGCCUGAGAGGGCGGACGGACACACUGGGACUGAGACACGGCCCAGACUCCUACGGGAGGCAGCAGUGGGGAAUUGUUCGCAAUGGGCGCAAGCCUGACGACGCAACGCCGCGUGGAGGAUGAAGAUCUUCGGGUCGUAAACUCCUGUCGAGCGGGACGAACACUUACCUGGCUAACAUCCGGGUAGGCUGACGGUACCGCCUAAAGGGAAGCCCCGGGCUAACUCCGUGCCCAGCAGCCGCGGUAA